UCCCUGGUGGUCCAGGGUUAAGAAUCUGCCUUGCAAAUGCAGGUGACCUGGGUUCCAUUCCUGGUCAGGGAA
This 72-nucleotide transfer RNA is filed under the name Ovis aries (sheep). It matches the Rfam family "tRNA". From Rfam's summary of the family: Transfer RNA (tRNA) molecules are approximately 80 nucleotides in length. Their secondary structure includes four short double-helical elements and three loops (D, anti-codon, and T loops). The record is from Rfam by way of RNAcentral. Lineage: Eukaryota; Metazoa; Chordata; Mammalia; Artiodactyla; Bovidae.